RNAcentral lists this non-coding RNA (94 nucleotides) under unclassified sequences. RNAcentral describes it as "Rhodo-rpoB RNA". It matches the Rfam family "Rhodo-rpoB RNA". The record is from RNAcentral.
GUUUCGGGCGAGGGAUCUUUGGGAGGUCUCUCUGGUAUGGAAACGAAAACUGUCCCGAUCAGGCGCUGAUCCGGAGGCCCAACCCGGCGUCAGC